GACGAACGCUGGCGGCGUGCUUAACACAUGCAAGUCGAACGGAAAGGCCCUGCUUUUGUGGGGUGCUCGAGUGGCGAACGGGUGAGUAACACGUGAGUAACCUGCCCUUGACUUUGGGAUAACUUCAGGAAACUGGGGCUAAUACCGGAUAGGAGCUCCUGCUGCAUGGUGGGGGUUGGAAAGUUUCGGCGGUUGGGGAUGGACUCGCGGCUUAUCAGCUUGUUGGUGGGGUAGUGGCUUACCAAGGCUUUGACGGGUAGCCGGCCUGAGAGGGUGACCGGCCACAUUGGGACUGGGAUACGGCCCGGACUCCUACGGGGGGCAGCGGUGGGGAAUAUUGCACAAUGGGCGGAAGCCUGAUGCAGCAACGCCGCGUGCGGGAUGACGGCCUUCGGGUUGGAAACCGCUUUCGCCUGUGACGAAGCGUGAGUGACGGUAAUGGGUAAAGAAGCACCGGCUAACUACGU
Molecule: ribosomal RNA, 467 nt
Filed under: uncultured bacterium
Lineage: Bacteria
Description: partial 16S ribosomal RNA
Rfam family: Bacterial small subunit ribosomal RNA
Source: RNAcentral